UGGCUUCCCAUGGUGGGUCUUUAAAUGAAGGCCUGAAGAGGGGGAGGUGCUGUGAGGAGAGUCCCAGGCCUAGAACCGCCGAGGCUGUAAGCAGAGACAGCAACAGCUCUCAGUGCAUGAAGUAAAGGUGUUUCCGGUGCACAUCGGAUAAGUCCCCUCCCCACCCGAGGUGGGUCCGCUCCAGCUUCCAUUGGGCACAGACCCUGAUCGCAGCAGCUCCAUGAGAACCGGGAUCAUUAUCAUCCCUGUUUUGAAGUCAAGGCCAGGAGACCAGAGAGGUUGAUUCAUCUGCCCACAAGCAUGCGGUGGCUCAAUGGCGUAGCCAACAUGGGACGGAGGCAGCCAGAUUUCAGCAUCUGUGUCUCUGCUGAGGUCAGAAACGAGCAAGGUGGUGGGGCUGCUGGCCCCGUCUUAGGACCUAACCCAGUCUUCCUUGAUGUGACGGGCAGGCACAAAGAGGAAAAGCGAUACCCCGGGUGUUCUGGACUUUUCCCGUCAGGGCCACCUCUCCAGACUCCUGAUGCAGUGUGCCACUGAGGCACUCUCUCUCGGACCCCACGCCUCCAGCCUCCCCCGCCUCGCCAGCAUCUGCCCAAAACGUGCUCGCCCACAUCGACGAGUUAGAAAGACAUUCGCAUUGCUCA
Molecule: long non-coding RNA, 644 nt
Organism: Suricata suricatta (meerkat)
Lineage: Eukaryota; Metazoa; Chordata; Mammalia; Carnivora; Herpestidae
Exons: 3
Source: RefSeq, a predicted model, not a curated record